UAGGGAAUCUUCCACAAUGGACGAAAGUCUGAUGGAGCAACGCCGCGUAAGUGAAGAAGGUUUUCGGAUCGUAAAGCUCUGUUGUUGGUGAAGAAGGAUAGAGGCAGUAACUGGUCUUUAUUUGACGGUAAUCAACCAGAAAGUCACGGCUAACUACGUGCCAC
Molecule: ribosomal RNA, 164 nt
Filed under: uncultured bacterium
Lineage: Bacteria
Description: partial 16S rRNA
Rfam family: Bacterial small subunit ribosomal RNA
Source: RNAcentral